UACGUAGGGUGCGAGCGUUAAUCGGAAUUACUGGGCGUAAAGCGUGCGCAGGCGGUUUGUCGCGUCUGCUGUGAAAACCUAAGGCUCAACCUUGGGCUUGCAGUGGGUACGGGCAGACUAGAGUGCGGUAGGGGUGACUGGAAUUCCCGGUGUAGCGGUGAAAUGCGCAGAUAUCGGGAGGAACACCGGUGGCGAAGGCGGUUCUCUGGGCCUGACCUGACGCUGAGGAGCGAAAGCGUGGGGAGCGAACAGG
This 253-nucleotide ribosomal RNA is filed under the name uncultured bacterium. RNAcentral describes it as "partial 16S ribosomal RNA". It matches the Rfam family "Bacterial small subunit ribosomal RNA", at positions 524 to 776 of the family's 1533-position model. The record is from RNAcentral.